CUUGCCUGUUUCCAUGGCUUGCUUCCAGGAGCUAAUGACUUCAUUUUGGUGUGGGAGUACUCCAGAGACAUGUGUCUGCCCUCAGUGAAUGCCUCGAGACUUCUGGAAUUUCCCUCACAGAUUUCCAUGGGCCCACUGAACACUGCAAAGGGACAAAAUGCCUCACAAAUUAUAUAGGACACUUUUGACCAAGUACUUCAAGCAUUUCUCAGACCUAUGAAAGAGCUCAAGGAAAAAAACUUGUUUUGAAGCUUCCUUUGAAAUUGAUGAAAGACCAGUGAAUUCUGAAGCAUGUUUAUCAAGGAAUGCUCCUACACAGCCAGUGAUCAUCUGGUCACCCAAAGCUUUGGUGGUGCAUUAAGAUCAUCAUGGAUGGGCACCAUCUGAAUAUCAGCCCAGACCACCUUAAGGAUAUAGCCAGAGACUGAUCCAGGUGGUAUGCGAUCCGCAAGCAGGCCACGUCCCUUUGAGGUUUGCCAUAAUGAUAAUUAUACUGCUAAAAAUAAAUGAACACUCAACCUCUUUCUGAGUUUCGGGAAGGGAGGACAAAAGCUCCACGGGUGAUUGUCAAGAUAGAAGGGUGCAGCGGAAGUCCCUUGUCUCCCAUGCAUCUGAGGGGAUGGCUUAUCAGACUUUCCCUUGCCGUAGGUGUCAUCCUGUACCUGGGAACAACUUUCUCAUUUCCCAACUCUGGGAUUAGGACUGGGUUUUGGGGCCUUGCUGUGCACAUUAUACCAGUCACCUUUUGCAGGCUGGGAAGGAAUUUUCCCUUCACUACCAGACUGGGAAGCAGCCCAGGCACCCAGUGGAUAGGUUAGGUUGCAAUGUAUUCAUAUUGGUGCAACUUCGUGGUGCUCAGUGCAGGUAUUUGUUCAAUAUGGGGUUUGGUUCACUGAUACACCAGAACUGGAAUAAAGUUCGGAGAAGGCAUCCCCUAAAAAAGGUGGGGAACAAGAGCGGAGCUCUGGAUGUCUGCUACAAUGAGAGGCCAAUCUGUUUUCCACAAACCCUCAACCCUCAGAUAAGGGGUGGGCCAUGGGGUCCCAGCAAUGGUGCUGGGACCAGGUGAAAGAUGUGUAUGGGAGAGAGGAGGGAGGCAAUGGCAGCCCUUCACCAGGCAGUAUGGAUUACAGAAGGAAGGAUGAGCUGCACUUGAUGACUUAUUGCUGGAUAGUUCCCAGAUAUGUGCAAUUAAUAAACUUGUGGCCUAGUUAA
This is a long non-coding RNA of Caretta caretta (loggerhead turtle), 1215 nucleotides long. RefSeq lists it as uncharacterized. Lineage: Eukaryota; Metazoa; Chordata; Testudines; Cheloniidae. The record is from RefSeq and is a predicted model, not a curated record.